This 76-nucleotide transfer RNA is filed under the name Candidatus Falkowiibacteriota bacterium. RNAcentral describes it as "tRNA-His". It matches the Rfam family "tRNA". From Rfam's summary of the family: Transfer RNA (tRNA) molecules are approximately 80 nucleotides in length. Their secondary structure includes four short double-helical elements and three loops (D, anti-codon, and T loops). Lineage: Bacteria; Candidatus Falkowiibacteriota. The record is from RNAcentral.
GUGGGCGUAGCUCAGUUGGUAGAGCACUAGCUUGUGGCGCUAGUGGCCGCGGGUUCAAGUCCCGUCGCUCACCCCA